RNAcentral lists this long non-coding RNA (1184 nucleotides) under Homo sapiens (human). RNAcentral describes it as "HSALNT0123055". The record is from RNAcentral. Lineage: Eukaryota; Metazoa; Chordata; Mammalia; Primates; Hominidae.
CUCUUCCACACUUACCUCUGCCUGUAAACACCUAGGCUGCAUAUUUUAACCUUUCCUUCCUCUGCUGCUGUAUGUCCAGCUUUGCCAGACUUCCAAAUACAGAUGGUGUAACUGACCCAAGGACUUUAUCUGAUGUGCUCUGAAAUUCACGGCUGCAGUACACAGAGGCAAACCUCUUAUGGACGGCUCCCAGCCAACAGCUCAGUGCAGCAAGGAUGCUAAGGCAGGCCCAUUGCUGGGAGAUGCAGGACUUCUCUAAUGAACUCUGCCUCGAGACUCCCCAGUAGCCUCACAAAAACUUCCAAGAAUGGCACAGCAUAUGAGGAGGCUCCCAAUCUCUCUUUCACCCAGGUCAUCAUAUAUUGAGUCUCCUUAGCUCCCUCACAGACCAGCAGGUGUGGCUGAGGCCCUGGCAAGUAGUGACCAAAUGUCAAAGGAACUUUCAAGCCCUGCAGACAGGCCCACUCAGAUUUAAGCCAGGAAGGGGAUAACUCACUACAGCAGUACUGCAGUUCAGCGGGACAGGAAGGCAGAAGAACAUGUCAUCCAGCAAAACCAGGUCGAAGAGCUCAUUCAGUAGAGCCCAACCACCAACCACUCCCACCCCACCUCUUAUUCCCAAGAUGUGAAAGGGCAAAGGUGUGCUUGAUCCUGAUGGGAUUCCCUAGGUUCUUUCCCCCAUUUGCCUCUCAUUUCUGCCUUCCACCUCCUGUGUUCGUUCAGCUCCAAUAAUCAAAACAUGGGUCUGUCUUUAUACCCACUGCCUAGUAUUCAGAUCACUUCGGUUCUUUCCCUUUUAAGGAAUUCCAAAAUUUUAAGAACAUUUGCUAACUUUAUAUUAAUGGCACAGUUUUUAUGACACUGGUUUGCAGGCCAAAAAACAGCCCAAAGUGCUGAGGGAUAGACCCCUUUGCAAGUCCAUGGUGACUGCCUCCCUAGUAGGGGCUGAGGUCAGGAGCUGUGGGGUCAGUCAAGGCUCCUCCGACUUUCUGACUUCACCACUUUGGCUCAGGGAGCAAAACACAUGUUGUCCAUUAAUGGCGUUUUUAAAAUCUGGUCCAACUGGUGAUUUAUUUAGUGAAAUAUCCUCCAAUUUUUGGUAUAUGUUGACUAUUAUCUUUAGUUUCCAAUACUGAUGCAGGCUUUUCCCUAUUUGAUUUCAUGAGUGUUUUAAUGAAAACUGG